This 253-nucleotide ribosomal RNA is filed under the name uncultured bacterium. RNAcentral's name for it is "partial 16S ribosomal RNA". It matches the Rfam family "Bacterial small subunit ribosomal RNA", at positions 524 to 776 of the family's 1533-position model. The record is from RNAcentral.
UACGUAGGGCGCAAGCGUUGUCCGGAAUUAUUGGGCGUAAAGAGCUCGUAGGCGGUUUGUCGCGUCUGCUGUGAAAACCUAAGGCUCAACCUUGGGCUUGCAGUGGGUACGGGCAGACUAGAGUGCGGUAGGGGUGACUGGAAUUCCUGGUGUAGCGGUGGAAUGCGCAGAUAUCAGGAGGAACACCGAUGGCGAAGGCAGGUCACUGGGCCACUACUGACGCUGAGAAGCGAAAGCAUGGGGAGCGAACAGG